This 464-nucleotide ribosomal RNA is filed under the name uncultured bacterium. RNAcentral describes it as "partial 16S ribosomal RNA". It matches the Rfam family "Bacterial small subunit ribosomal RNA", at positions 339 to 795 of the family's 1533-position model. The record is from RNAcentral.
CUACGGGAGGCAGCAGUGGGGAAUAUUGGACAAUGGGGGAAACCCUGAUCCAGCAAUGCCGCGUGUGUGAAGAAGGCCUGCGGGUUGUAAAGCACUUUCGGUUGGGAGGACUGCUUCUAGCACUAAUAUUGUUGGAAGUUGACGUUACCUUCAGAAGAAGCACCGGCUAACUCCGUGCCAGCAGCCGCGGUAAUACGGAGGGUGCAAGCGUGAAUCGGAAUUACUGGGCGUAAAGCGCGCGUAGGCGGCUAGAUCAGUCGGGUGUGAAAGCCCCGGGCUUAACCUGGGAACUGCAUCCGAUCCUGUCUAGCUUGAGUACAGGAGAGGAGAGUGGAAUUCCACAUGUAGCGGUGAAAUGCGUAGAUAUGUGGAGGAACACCAAUGGCGAAGGCAGCUCUCUGGCCUGAUACUGACGCUGAGGUGCGAAAGCGUGGGGAGCAAACAGGAUUAGAACCCCAGUAGUC